GAAAAGCUUAAGAUGCCAGAAUAUACAUUGGGGGCCAUAAGGAAAUCAUUAAUUCUUGUUGCUUUCUGAAUUGUUUUCUUUUUCCUCAAAAUGUGUAUGAAAGAAGGCAAAUGCACAGCUGUGAAGGAAACAAGUGACCUCUGAACUCCACACCAGUAAAACAACUGUUAAAGCAUAUAUGUUCUAAUGGAUGACAGUGGCCAAUGUGGAGAGAAUCUGGGAAGGACCACGAAGAAGCUCCUCUAUUGAAACUCACCACCAACCCCAGGUUUUCUAAAUGAGGAAAACAUGUACAAACAGCAGGUCGAAAACCUGUCACCUUUUCUUGGAACCUCUUUGAAAUUUAAAGAUUACUGAUUGUUCUUUAUUAAUAAUAUUUUUCCAUCAAUGUCAAAUGUGUUAAUAGCAUGAAAAA
RNAcentral lists this long non-coding RNA (415 nucleotides) under Calidris pugnax (ruff). Its description in RNAcentral is "lncRNA (ENSCPUG00000010989.1)". The record is from RNAcentral. Lineage: Eukaryota; Metazoa; Chordata; Aves; Charadriiformes; Scolopacidae.